RNAcentral lists this transfer RNA (83 nucleotides) under Chloroflexota bacterium. RNAcentral's name for it is "Chloroflexi bacterium tRNA-Leu". It matches the Rfam family "tRNA". From Rfam's summary of the family: Transfer RNA (tRNA) molecules are approximately 80 nucleotides in length. Their secondary structure includes four short double-helical elements and three loops (D, anti-codon, and T loops). Further hydrogen bonds mediate the characteristic L-shaped molecular structure. tRNAs have two regions of fundamental functional importance: the anti-codon, which is responsible for specific mRNA codon recognition, and the 3' end, to which the tRNAs corresponding amino acid is attached (by aminoacyl-tRNA synthetases). tRNAs cope with the degeneracy of the genetic code in two manners: having more than one tRNA (with a specific anti-codon) for a particular amino acid; and 'wobble' base-pairing, i.e. permitting non-standard base-pairing at the 3rd anti-codon position. The record is from RNAcentral. Lineage: Bacteria; Bacillati; Chloroflexota. RNAcentral also lists the same sequence under 1 other name.
GGGGCGGUGGCGGAAUGGCAGACGCGGCGGACUUAAAAUCCGCUUCCCUCACAGGAGUGUGGGUUCGAAUCCCACCCGCCCUA